CCUACGGGAGGCAGCAGUGGGGAAUUUUGGACAAUGGGCGCAAGCCUGAUCCAGCCAUGCCGCGUGUGGGAAGAAGGCCUUCGGGUUGUAAACCACUUUUGUCAGGGAAGAAACGGUCUGGUCUAAUAAACCGGACUAAUGACGGUACCUGAAGAAUAAGCACCGGCUAACUACGUGCCAGCAGCCGCGGUAAUACGUAGGGUGCGAGCGUUAAUCGGAAUUACUGGGCGUAAAGCGUGCGCAGGCGGCUUUGCAAGACAGGUGUGAAAUCCCCGGGCUCAACCUGGGAACUGCAUUUGUGACUGCAAGGCUAGAGUACGGCAGAGGGGGAUGGAAUUCCGCGUGUAGCAGUGAAAUGCGUAGAUAUGCGGAGGAACACCGAUGGCGAAGGCAAUCCCCUGGGCCUGUACUGACGCUCAUGCACGAAAGCGUGGGGAGCAAACAGGAUUAGAUACCCUGGUAGUCCACGCCCUAAACGAUGUCAACUGGUUGUUGGGAGGGUUUCUUCUCAGUAACGAAGCUAACGCGUGAAGUUGACCGCCUGGGAGUACGGCGCAAGGUUGAAACUUAAUGAAUUGACGG
Molecule: ribosomal RNA, 582 nt
Filed under: uncultured bacterium
Lineage: Bacteria
Description: bacterial SSU rRNA
Rfam family: Bacterial small subunit ribosomal RNA
Source: RNAcentral